Molecule: ribosomal RNA, 115 nt
Filed under: Danio rerio (zebrafish)
Lineage: Eukaryota; Metazoa; Chordata; Actinopteri; Cypriniformes; Danionidae
Source: RNAcentral
ACCGGCAGCUAGCUUUCUGCAACUCUCACAUGGUCGCCCACUAAAGCUAAGGAGGGCUGCACCUGGUCAGUACUUGGAUUGGAGACCACAUGGGAAAGCCAGGUUACUGUUGUAA